AACUAGGACAUCUUUGUAAUAACCUCAGGAUCGAUAAGUAAUUUGGAGCAUAGAGCAAUCUUCAAAUGUAUUUAUGUACAGCAAGUUUUGCCUGUUGUAGCUUCUUCAUUAAUAGCCUCUCUUAGUCUCUGCCCUUCCCCAGUUCCCCUUGGUUGCUUGCGUGCAUGCUAAUAGAUGUAUGCAACUAGUGCAUCACUCAAAAAAUAAAUAAAACCUGGUCACUGGGUUCCGAAGUUCAAUUUAAUUUGGGCAGGCAUUCAAGGUCAGGGAUCUAGAAUCCAGUCUGACCCACUCAUGGAUGUAGAGGAAGGAUGAUGAAUAAAACUAAAUUCUGUCCUCAGGGUGGCAGCUUUAGGAUAAAAUCAAAGCAAUCUUCAAACAGUAACUUUUCUUUUUCUUGUCUCUCUUCUUCCAUUUGUAAUCCUCCAC
Molecule: unclassified non-coding RNA, 429 nt
Filed under: Hevea brasiliensis (rubber tree)
Lineage: Eukaryota; Viridiplantae; Streptophyta; Magnoliopsida; Malpighiales; Euphorbiaceae
Source: RNAcentral